Molecule: non-coding RNA, 75 nt
Organism: Micromonospora echinofusca
Lineage: Bacteria; Bacillati; Actinomycetota; Actinomycetes; Micromonosporales; Micromonosporaceae
Rfam family: ASpks TB sRNA
Source: Rfam
CUUCACCGACCCCAGCCACAGCGGCCGGUCGGUGGGGCGCUCCUUGCCGUACGUGGCCAGCAGCGCCUGCGCCUC